Molecule: non-coding RNA, 71 nt
Organism: Onchocerca flexuosa
Lineage: Eukaryota; Metazoa; Nematoda; Chromadorea; Rhabditida; Onchocercidae
Source: the annotation of a GenBank genome assembly
AGAAGGCAUCGGGUUUGAAUCACAGAUGUCUCGAUCUGCAGUCGAAUGCUCUACCACUGAGUUAUUCCUCU